This 254-nucleotide ribosomal RNA is filed under the name uncultured bacterium. RNAcentral describes it as "partial 16S ribosomal RNA". It matches the Rfam family "Bacterial small subunit ribosomal RNA", at positions 79 to 334 of the family's 1533-position model. The record is from RNAcentral.
CUUUCUUUGCUGGCGACCGGCGCACGGGUGAGUAACACGUAUUCAACCUGCCCUUUACUCGGGGAUAGCCUUUCGAAAGAAAGAUUAAUACCCGAUAGUAUAAUGAUUCCGCAUGGUUUCAUUAUUAAAGGAUUCCGGUAAAGGAUGGGGAUGCGUUCCAUUAGGUUGUUGGUGAGGUAACGGCUCACCAAGCCUUCGAUGGAUAGGGGUUCUGAGAGGAAGGUCCCCCACAUUGGAACUGAGACACGGUCCAA